RNAcentral lists this unclassified non-coding RNA (263 nucleotides) under plant metagenome. Its description in RNAcentral is "partial contains small subunit ribosomal RNA, internal transcribed spacer 1, and 5.8S ribosomal RNA". The record is from RNAcentral.
UUUCCGUAGGUGAACCUGCGGAAGGAUCAUUAUUGUAUAACCGAGGUGCGAGGGCUGUCGCUGACCCGAAAGGUCGUGCACGCCCGAGUGCCCUCACACACAUCCAUCUCCACCCUAUGUGCACCACCGCGUGGGUCCCCCUUUGGCUUGUUCGGAGGGGGGCUUACGUUUUCACACAAACUUUGUAUGCAGUGUAGAAUGUAUUUUUUGUUUUUGCGAUCACGCAAUCAAUACAACUUUCAACAACGGAUCUCUUGGCUCUC